CCUAGAUAGAUGGAAUGUGAGUGUUCACACAGAUUGUCUGAUGAAGAUUGAGCAGAAAGUAUCAUUAGGCCUGUAGCUCAGGUGGUUAGAGCGCACCCCUGAUAAGGGUGAGGUCGGUGGUUCAAGUCCACUCAGGCCUACCAACAUUGCUGAUGGAAGUGGCUGAAAGGCAAGGUUAGCAGUAAGGUGUAAUGAUACGACAAUCUUAAUGGGGCUGUAGCUCAGCUGGGAGAGCGCCUGCUUUGCACGCAGGAGGUCAGCGGUUCGAUCCCGCUUAGCUCCACCAUAUUGCAAGAUAAAAAUAGAAAAAAAGUUAUUCAGAGCAGGCUGGCAACAGUAUGCUACGAAUAAUAAUGCUCUUUAACAAUCUGGAACAAGCUGAAAAUUGAAACACACAUUAUUGAAAAAAUAGUGUGGGGAACUCUCAAACUCCAAUUUGAAGUGUUAUUCAAAUAGGCAGACGAAUGGCAUGAGCGAGCAGGGUGAAAUUUGCGGCGUAGGUGCGCAGUCAGCGCAGUGUACAUAAGUACGUGAGCAUGACGAGUACCGCACAACAAAAAAUUUCGCACGGCGCAGCCAUGGCGCUUCCGUAUUAUUUGAUAAGAGACACCUUCGGGUUGUGA
RNAcentral lists this unclassified non-coding RNA (623 nucleotides) under uncultured Pseudomonadota bacterium. RNAcentral describes it as "uncultured proteobacterium miscellaneous RNA". The stretch from base 67 to 140 matches the Rfam family "tRNA". Lineage: Bacteria; Pseudomonadati; Pseudomonadota. The record is from RNAcentral.